This 497-nucleotide ribosomal RNA is filed under the name uncultured bacterium. RNAcentral's name for it is "partial 16S ribosomal RNA". It matches the Rfam family "Bacterial small subunit ribosomal RNA", at positions 28 to 507 of the family's 1533-position model. The record is from RNAcentral.
GAUGAACGCUGGCGGCGUGCCUAAUACAUGCAAGUCGAGCGAACAGACGAGGAGCUUGCUCCUCUGACGUUAGCGGCGGACGGGUGAGUAACACGUGGAUAACCUACCUAUAAGACUGGGAUAACUUCGGGAAACCGGAGCUAAUACCGGAUAAUAUAUUGAACCGCAUGGUUCAAUAGUGAAAGACGGUCUUGCUGUCACUUAUAGAUGGAUCCGCGCUGCAUUAGCUAGUUGGUAAGGUAACGGCUUACCAAGGCAACGAUGCAUAGCCGACCUGAGAGGGUGAUAGGCCACACGGGAACUGAGACACGGUCCAGACGCCUACGGGAGGCAGCAGUAGGGAAUCUUCCGCAAUGGGCGAAAGCCUGACGGAGCAACGCCGCGUGAGUGAUGAAGGUCUUCGGAUCGUAAAACUCUGUUAUUAGGGAAGAACAUAUGUGUAAGUAACUGUGCACAUCUUGACGGUACCUAAUCAGAAAGCAACGGCUAACUACGUG